Long non-coding RNA from Poecilia latipinna (sailfin molly), 868 nucleotides. RefSeq lists it as uncharacterized. NCBI's taxonomy places the organism in Eukaryota, Metazoa, Chordata, Actinopteri, Cyprinodontiformes, Poeciliidae. The record is from RefSeq and is a predicted model, not a curated record. The transcript is spliced from 3 exons.
UGGAGUAGUAAUUGCUUGGAAGCUGUGAAUCUGAACCAACAUUGCUUUUAUGUUCCUCUUUGUUCAAUGUUUCUAUUGCUGAUGUAGGGAUCCCUGAGCUCUGAGACAGAACUAUCCGAGUACUUCUCUCAGGAGGUUCCUGACCACUCAGUCACAUCUGGGUCUGUUCUGAAGAGCUCAAACAAUGGUCAAGGGCUCCACCAGCUGGGCGGCAGAGCCUCAGCAUAUGGCCCACUACAACCACAAGCAUGCAGCACCUCUGUGACAGAUGUUAACCACAGCCCUGGAUGCAUAACAUCACACGACAAGACUUCUGUCCCUUUCCAUCAGCAUACAGAGCCCCUUUGCCAUGCCCUCGCUGCCUCCAGUACCACCUCAAUGAAGAGCCUACUUUUCCGCCAACGAAAGGUCAUAUACUCUGAGGAUGAGUUCAGUAAUGAUGAGGCAUCAGAUAAAGCUGAAAACACUGAACCACUGAUCCAGCAACAAAAACCCACAUCUCCACACUUACCACAGAUGCUAUCUAACGCCAUACCAAGUGGAGAAGAGAUAGCUACAAGGCUGGCGCCCAGACAGCUCUUUGAAAGGGAAGAUUUCAGAGGUUUUCACACUGUUAUCUUAAAGAGAAAAGAAGAAGAGACGUUCGGGCUGGACCUGGAGAUUAUGUCAUCACCUCUGAGAGUUAUAAUUGAUGGUUUAAAGCCUGACUGUGCUGCUGAAUGGAACUGUGAAACUAAACUCUGCCCUGGUGAUGAGAUUGUGAAAAUAGGAGGUAAACCAGUGAACUCUUCAAGCUACCAGGAAAUCUGUGAAUUUAUGCAUCAUCUUCCAGUGAUGGUGUCUUUGGAGGUGAGGCGAGCAACUUCAG